RNAcentral lists this ribosomal RNA (349 nucleotides) under uncultured bacterium. RNAcentral's name for it is "partial 16S ribosomal RNA". It matches the Rfam family "Bacterial small subunit ribosomal RNA", at positions 338 to 684 of the family's 1533-position model. The record is from RNAcentral.
CCUACGGGUGACAGCAGUGAGGAAUAUUGGUCAAUGGACGGGAGUCUGAACCAGCCAAGUAGCGUGAAGGAUGACUGCCCUAUGGGUUGUAAACUUCUUUUAUAAAGGAAUAAAACGAUGCACGUGUGCCUUUUUGCAGGUACUUUAUGAAUAAGGAUCGGCUAACUCCGUGCCAGCAGCCGCGGUAAUACGCAGGAGCCGAGCGUUAGCCGGAUUUAGUGGGUUUAAAGGGAGCGUAGUGGGGGUGGUAAGUCAGUGGUUAAAGUUUGCGGCUCACCCGGAAAAUUGCAUUUGAUACUGGCAGUCUUUAGUACAGUUGAGGUAGGCGGAAUUCGUCGUGUAGCGGUGA